CUACGGGUUGCUCCAGUAGGGAAUAUUGGGCAAAGGACGAAAGUCUGACCCAGCCAUGCCGCGUGCAGGAUGACAGCCCUCUGGGUUGUAAACUGCUUUUAUAUAGGAAGAAACCCUUGGAUGCGUCCGAGGCUGACGGUACUAUAUGAAUAAGGAUCGGCUAACUUCGUGCCAGCAGCCGCGGUAAGACGAAGGAUCCAAGCGUUGUCCGGAUUUACUGGGUUUAAAGGGUGCGUAGGCGGACCUUUAAGUCAGUGGUGAAAUCCCGCAGCUCAACUGCGGAACUGCCAUUGAAACUGAAGGUCUUGAAUAUGGUUGAGGUAGAUGGAAUAUAACAUGUAGCGGUGAAAUGCUUAGAUAUGUUAUAGAACACCGAUUGCGAAGGCAGUCUGCUAAGCCAUCAUUGACGCUGAGGCACGAAAGCGUGGGGAGCAAACAGGAUUAGAUACCCUCGUAGUC
This 459-nucleotide ribosomal RNA is filed under the name uncultured bacterium. RNAcentral's name for it is "partial 16S ribosomal RNA". It matches the Rfam family "Bacterial small subunit ribosomal RNA", at positions 339 to 795 of the family's 1533-position model. The record is from RNAcentral.